CCGUAACUAUAACGGUCCUAAGGUAGCGAAAUUCCUUGUCGGGUAAGUUCCGACCCGCACGAAAGGCGUAAUGAUUUGAGCGCUGUCUCGACAAUGCAUCCGGUGAAAUUGAAGUACCAGUGAAGAUGCUGGUUACCCGCGCCAGGACGGAAAGACCCCAUGGAGCUUUACUCCAGUUUGAUACUGGGAUUCGGUAAUGCAUGCACAGGAUAGGUGGGAGGCUAUGAAGCAGGAACUCCGGUUUCUGCAGAGCCGCUGUUGGGAUACCACCCCUGCGUUGCUGGAUUUCUAACCUGCGCCCGUGAUCCGGGCGGGGGACAAUGUCAGGCGGGGAGUUUGACUGGGGCGGUCGCCUCCGAAAGGGUAUCGGAGGCGCUCAAAGGUUCCCUCAGAAUGGUUGGAAACCAUUCGAAGAGUGCAAAGGCAGAAGGGAGCUUGACUGCGACACCGACGGGUGGAGCAGGUACGAAAGUAGGACUUAGUGAUCCGGUGGCAUAAAGUGGGAUUGCCAUCGCUCAACGGAUAAAAGCUACCCUGGGAUAACAGGCUUAUCACUCCCAAGAGUUCACAUCGACGGAGUGGUUUGGCACCUCGAUGUCGGCUCAUCGCAUCCUGGGGCUGUAGCAGGUCCCAAGGGUUGGGCUGUUCGCCCAUUAAAGCGGUACGCGAGCUGGGUUCAGAACGUCGUGAGACAGUUCGGUCCCUAUCCGGCGCGGGCGUAGGAUAUCUGAAAGGAGCUGGCCUUAGUACGAGAGGACCGGGCUGGACGAACCGCUGGUUCACCUGUUGUCAUACCAAUGGCAUAGCAGGGUAGCCAAGUUUGGAAGGGAUAAACGCUGAAGGCAUCUAAGCGUGAAGCCCCCCUUAAGAUAAGAUAUCCCUGGAGUAAUCCAGUAAGACCCCUUGAAAACGACUCAGGUUGAUAGGUCUGAGGUGGAAGUGUGGCGACACAUGGAGCUGACAGAUACUAAUCGAUC
This 977-nucleotide ribosomal RNA is filed under the name human gut metagenome. RNAcentral's name for it is "bacterial LSU rRNA". It matches the Rfam family "Bacterial large subunit ribosomal RNA", at positions 1934 to 2910 of the family's 2925-position model. The record is from RNAcentral.